CAACCCUCAAGCACUGCUUGGUGUUGGAGCCGUAUAGUCGUUGGGCCAUACGCUCUGAAAAAUAGUGGCGGACUCUUCAAGACUCCGGGCGCAGUAGAGAUGCGACGCCUAGGAAGAUUGGGUGAGCUCCGGCCGUAAAACCCCCAUAUUUUACAA
RNAcentral lists this unclassified non-coding RNA (156 nucleotides) under uncultured Sordariales. RNAcentral describes it as "sequence contains ITS2". Lineage: Eukaryota; Fungi; Ascomycota; Sordariomycetes; Sordariales. The record is from RNAcentral.